RNAcentral lists this long non-coding RNA (406 nucleotides) under Zalophus californianus (California sea lion). Its description in RNAcentral is "lncRNA (ENSZCAG00015001157.1)". The record is from RNAcentral. Lineage: Eukaryota; Metazoa; Chordata; Mammalia; Carnivora; Otariidae.
ACUUUCUGGUUGCAAAUGACAGAAAUCGUAACAAACCAAGAUAAAAGAAAAAGAAGGGUGAAGGAAGGGAAGAAGGAAGAAAUUGGCACCUGUAACAACAAAGUUCAGAGAUGGACUUCAGAAGCAAAAGUGGCAAUUUCUCUUUUAAAAAAAGACGGGAGGAGCCAGUGAGGGGACAGGGGACUUGGUGCAUUCAGAAGUCCUGUGAUGUUGCUGCCUCCUACCAUCCACCAUCAGGAAGAGGUUUGGAAGAUUUCACCUUUCAGGUUUCCACCAUAAUGAAGAGAAAAGUUUUGAGUACAAUGCAGCUGACAUUCUGGGUCAAAACAUAAUGAUUCUGCCACUACUGAGCUUUUUGAAAAGCAAGUCAUGGAACCUGUCUGAAAUUCUGGUCCUUCAUAUCGCC